RNAcentral lists this ribosomal RNA (116 nucleotides) under Cordylochernes scorpioides. The record is from RNAcentral. Lineage: Eukaryota; Metazoa; Arthropoda; Arachnida; Pseudoscorpiones; Chernetidae.
ACGUCCAUACCACAUUGAAAAUACCGUUUCUCGUCCGAUCACACGAAGUUAAGCAAUGUCAGGCCCGGUCAGUACUUGGGAGGGUGACCACUUGGGAACACCGGGUGUUGUAACCU